Molecule: ribosomal RNA, 405 nt
Filed under: uncultured bacterium
Lineage: Bacteria
Description: bacterial SSU rRNA
Rfam family: Bacterial small subunit ribosomal RNA
Source: RNAcentral
GGGGAAUAUUGCACAAUGGGCGCAAGCCUGAUGCAGCAACGCCGCGUGAGGGACGAAUGCCUUCGGGUUGUAAACCUCUUUUAGUAGGGAAGAAGCGAAAGUGACGGUACCUGCAGAAAAAGCACCGGCUAACUACGUGCCAGCAGCCGCGGUAAUACGUAGGGUGCAAGCGUUGUCCGGAAUUAUUGGGCGUAAAGAGCUCGUAGGCGGUUUGUCACGUCUGCUGUGAAAACUGGAGGCUCAACCUCCAGCCUGCAGUGGGUACGGGCAGACUAGAGUGCGGUAGGGGAGAUUGGAAUUCCUGGUGUAGCGGUGGAAUGCGCAGAUAUCAGGAGGAACACCGAUGGCGAAGGCAGAUCUCUGGGCCGUAACUGACGCUGAGGAGCGAAAGCAUGGGGAGCGAAC